UGGGGAAUAUUGCACAAUGGGCGCAAGCCUGAUGCAGCCAUGCCGCGUGUAUGAAGAAGGCCUUCGGGUUGUAAAGUACUUUCAGUCGGGAGGAAGGUGUCAAGGUUAAUAACCUUGGCAAUUGACGUUACCGACAGAAGAAGCACCGGCUAACUCCGUGCCAGCAGCCGCGGUAAUACGGAGGGUGCAAGCGUUAAUCGGAAUUACUGGGCGUAAAGGGUACGUAGGCGGGUAAGCAAGUUAGAAGUGAAAUCCUAUAGCUCAACUAUAGUAAGCUUUUAAAACUGCUCAUCUUGAGGUAUGGAAGGGAAAGUGGAAUUCCUAGUGUAGCGGUGAAAUGCGCAGAUAUUAGGAGGAAUACCGGUGGCGAAGGCGACUUUCUGGCCAUAACCUGACGCUGAGGUACGAAAGCGUGGGUAGCAAACAGG
Molecule: ribosomal RNA, 428 nt
Filed under: Chloroflexota bacterium
Lineage: Bacteria; Bacillati; Chloroflexota
Description: Chloroflexi bacterium partial 16S ribosomal RNA
Rfam family: Bacterial small subunit ribosomal RNA
Source: RNAcentral